This 468-nucleotide ribosomal RNA is filed under the name uncultured bacterium. RNAcentral's name for it is "partial 16S ribosomal RNA". It matches the Rfam family "Bacterial small subunit ribosomal RNA", at positions 28 to 507 of the family's 1533-position model. The record is from RNAcentral.
GACGAACGCUGGCGGCGUGCUUAACACAUGCCAGUCGAACGGAAAGGCCCUGCUUUUGUGGGGUGCUCGAGUGGCGAACGGGUGAGUAACACGUGAGUAACCUGCCCUUGACUUUGGGAUAACUUCAGGAAACUGGGGCUAAUACCGGAUAGGAGCUCCUGCUGCAUGGUGGGGGUUGGAAAGUUUCGGCGGUUGGGGAUGGACUCGCGGCUUAUCAGCUUGUUGGUGGGGUAGUGGCUUACCAAGGCUUUGACGGGUAGCCGGCCUGAGAGGGUGACCGGCCACAUUGGGACUGAGAUACGGCCCAGACUCCUACGGGAGGCAGCAGUGUGGAAUAUUGCACAAUGGGCGGAAGCCUGAUGCAGCAACGCCGCGUGCGGGAUGACGGCCUUCGGGUUGUAAACCGCUUUCGCCUGUGACGAAGCGUGAGUGACGGUAAUGGGUAAAGAAGCACCGGCUAACUACGUG